AUAAGAUCCGUAGUCGAAAGGGAAACAGCCCAGACCACCAGUUAAGGUCCCCAAAUAUAUGUUAAGUGGAAAAGGAUGUGGGGUUGCUUAGACAACCAGGAUGUUGGCUUAGAAGCAGCCACCAUUGAAAGAGUGCGUAAUAGCUCACUGGUCGAGUGACCCCGCGCCGAAAAUGUACCGGGGCUAAACAUAUUACCGAAACUGUGGAUGAACCUCUUUAGAGGUUCGUGGUAGGAGAGCGUUCUAAGGGCGGUGAAGUCAGACCGGAAGGACUGGUGGAGCGCUUAGAAGUGAGAAUGCCGGUAUGAGUAGCGAAAGAAGGGUGAGAAUCCCUUCCACCGAAUAUCUAAGGUUUCCUGAGGAAGGCUCGUCCGCUCAGGGUUAGUCGGGACCUAAGCCGAGGCCGAUAGGCGUAGGCGAUGGACAACAG
Molecule: ribosomal RNA, 430 nt
Filed under: Listeria monocytogenes
Lineage: Bacteria; Bacillati; Bacillota; Bacilli; Caryophanales; Listeriaceae
Description: partial 23S ribosomal RNA
Rfam family: Bacterial large subunit ribosomal RNA
Source: RNAcentral